This 1028-nucleotide ribosomal RNA is filed under the name Megapodius reinwardt. Its description in RNAcentral is "partial 16S ribosomal RNA". It matches the Rfam family "Bacterial large subunit ribosomal RNA", at positions 950 to 2625 of the family's 2925-position model. Lineage: Eukaryota; Metazoa; Chordata; Aves; Galliformes; Megapodiidae. The record is from RNAcentral.
CCCCCCCCGAAUUUUAGGAUUAAGAGCUACUCAAAGGGGGUACAGCCCCUUUAAAAAAGAAUACAACCUCGACCAGCGGAUAACACCCCUCCCCAUCCACCGUAGGCCUUAAAGCAGCCACCGACAAAGAGUGCGUCAAAGCUCCAACACCUAAAAAUCCCCCAAACCCGCACGACUCCCUCACCCAUAGCAGGCCAACCUAUAACUAUAGGAGAAUCUAUGCUAAAAUGAGUAACUCGGAACCCACUCCUCCCACAGGCGCAAGCUUACAUCAACUCAUUAUUAACAGUCCCCCAAUUUAUACCCAAACCCCAACAAGCAACGCAUAUAAAACCAACCCUGUUAAACCAACUCAGGAGCGCCUACAGGACGAUUAAAAUCUGUAGAAGGAACUCGGCAAUUUUUAAGGCCCGACUGUUUACCAAAAACAUAGCCUUCAGCCACUAACAAGUAUUGAAGGUGAUGCCUGCCCAGUGACCCCCUCAAUGUUCAACGGCCGCGGUAUCCUAACCGUGCAAAGGUAGCGCAAUCAAUUGUCCCAUAAAUCGAGACUUGUAUGAAUGGCUAAACGAGGUCUUAACUGUCUCCUACAGACAAUCAGUGAAAUUGAUAUUCCUGUGCAAAAGCAGGAAUGUGAACAUAAGACGAGAAGACCCUGUGGAACUUAAAAAUCAACAGCCACUUCCACCACACGCAACCCCACUGGGCCUACCGCCAAAAUAAGCACCUGGCUGAUAUUUUUCGGUUGGGGCGACCUUGGAGCAAAACUAAACCUCCAAAAACAAGACCACCAAUCUUUACCAAGGACUACCCCCCAAAGUACUAAAAGUGACCAGACCCAAUACAAUUGAUCAAUGGACCAAGCUACCCCAGGGAUAACAGCGCAAUCCCCUCCAAGAGCCCUUAUCGACAAGGGGGUUUACGACCUCGAUGUUGGAUCAGGACAACCUAAUGGUGCAGCCGCUAUUAAGGGUUCGUUUGUUCAACGAUUAAUAGUCCUACGUGAUCUGAGUUCAGACCGGAGCAAU